Apus apus (common swift) is the source of this 2915-nucleotide RNA transcript. It is a transcript of the gene named leucine rich repeat containing 40, with no coding region annotated. The transcript has 12 exons. Lineage: Eukaryota; Metazoa; Chordata; Aves; Apodiformes; Apodidae. The record is from RefSeq and is a predicted model, not a curated record.
GUGCCGGGCGCGGGGCGGUGCGGGAUGGCGGCGGCGCGGAGAGCCGGGGCGGCCGAUCCCCGCGCGGGCUUCAGGCGGGCGGAGCCGGGCCCCGCCGUGCCGCAGGGGCUGCUGCGGGCGGCCCGGAAGAGCGGGCAGCUGAACCUGUCGGGCCGGAGCCUGGGCGAGGUGCCUCAGCACGUGUGGCGGAUAAACCUGGACGCUCCCGAGGAGGCUGCUCAGAACCUCUCCUUCGGCGCCGCGGACCGCUGGUGGGAGCAGGCGGACCUGACCAAGCUGAUCCUCGCCUCCAACCAGCUGCGGAGCCUGUCAGAGGACGUGCAGCUCCUGCCCGCGCUCACUGUUCUGGAUGUGCAUGAUAAUCAACUGACAUCACUUCCUUCUGCUUUAGGGCAAUUAGAAAAUCUUCAGAAACUUGAUGUCAGCCACAACAGACUGACAAGCAUCCCUGAAGAGCUGCUGCAGUUGUCCCGUCUGAGGAGCCUCCUUCUUCAUCACAAUGAGCUGAGCCACUUGCCGGAUGGAUUUGGACAGCUGGUCAAUCUGGAAGAAUUAGAUGUGUCCAACAACCAUCUCACAGACAUUCCAACAAGUUUUGCUUUGCUCAUUAACUUAGUGCGACUCAAUUUGGCUUCUAAUCAACUGAAGAACCUGCCUGCAGAUAUCAGUGCCAUGAAAAGCCUAAGACAACUAGACUGUACUAAAAACUACCUGGAAACUGUACCUUCUAAAUUAGCAACUAUGGCAUCUUUGGAACAACUUUACCUGAGAAAAAAUAAGUUACGUUCCUUACCAGAAUUUCCCUCCUGCAAAUUACUGAAGGAGUUACAUGCUGGUGAAAAUCAGAUUGAAAUAUUGAAUGCAGAGAGUCUGAAGCAUCUGAAUUCCCUCUCUGUGCUGGAACUGAGAGACAACAAGAUAAAAUCAGUUCCUGAUGAGAUUACUCUGCUGCAGAAGCUGGAGAGACUUGACCUUGCCAACAAUGAUAUCAGUAGGUUGCCUUACACCUUGGGGAACCUGCCUCAGCUGAAAUUCCUGGCAUUGGAGGGGAAUCCUCUCAGAGCCAUUCGCAGAGACCUGCUGGAGAAGGGCACCCAGGAACUCCUGAAAUACCUACGAAGCAGAAUCCAAGAUGAUGUGACCAGCCCAAAUGGAGAGCCUCCUGUGACUGCCAUGACUCUUCCCAGCGAGUCCAGGGUUAACAUGCAUGCCAUAACUUCCCUGAAAUUACUGGAAUACAGUGAGAAACAGGCAGCUGUGGUUCCUGAUGAAAUGUUCCAAGCAGUCAGAAGCCAUCCUGUCACCACGGUCAACUUCAGCAAAAACCAGCUGAGUCAAGUUCCCCCAAGGUACUUCUCUAAAGGUCUUUCUCUGUUUGUUACUUUAUUUUCUGCUCUUGUUCCUCAGCACCUUGUGUGUUUCCUCAGCAAGUGUAUUUGCACUUGGUGCCAUGUCUGUGUGUACAGAUGGAUGGAAGUGUCAUUGAGAGGCUGAACACUGCACUUGCAUUUUGUCUGAGGAGCAGGCAGGUGGGUUCCUUGGCUGGGAGGAGGAUGCAGCAAAGAGAAGCUUGGCCAGUCAGUGGUGCUCUCAUAACAUGUUGUUUAUCAUCUUCCUUGGCUGAGCCUUGUUGAGUUGAGUGAGUGGAGACUGGUGUGACUUCUCAUCAUAAUGAAGUGCUGUACUCAGCCACAGUGUGGGAUUGUUCUCUCUGCAGUGCAGUCUAUUCCCAUAGGGAGAUAAUCUGUGUGGAUUCACCACUUCACUGGGUGAUAGCUUGGAACUAGAGCUGAGGUCCUGUUUAAAACUGAUUUCUUCACAUAGCAUAAUUAUGGGGGGUUUUUAUGGAACCCUGAACAAUUUCCUUGCCUCUUGAUAGGUUUUGUGUCCCAUCAUCUAGCAUUUGAUGUUAUUGCACUUGUUAAUUCAUCCACAGUCAAGGAAGAGCUUUCUGGUGACACAGAUGGGAAUAGUCUUUUGUGUCAGGAGGAAGGUUACUGCAUCUCUGGUAGCCUCCCAAAAAUCAUGAAAGCUGAUUUUUGAGAAUACUACCACAUUUGUGGGGUUAACCUAGUUCCAUUCUUGGACCCAGGUGUGCAGAACAUUUAACCUUUGUCACAUAGAACUUGAGGAGCUGUUUAUUCCCAGGGGAGGCAAGUAUGGGUGUGCAGCUGCUGGGUGCCACAGGGUUCAGUGCCAAUCCAGGUAGGAGAGAUGAGUGUGUUCUCAUUUAACUCCCUUCUGUUAUUAGGGCUGAAAUGGAGCUUCUGUCCUAGGGAUUCAAUACCUAACUUGGUGAGCUUGUAAACAUUUGACAUCAAAGCUUCUUUAUUAUAAUAUUCUUUUGCAAGAAGCAGCACGUGCUGCCUCCCUGAAGCCUGGUACAGCAGAUCAGUGGAACAGAAGCAAAAGAUGGAAAUAAAAGAAGAAUCUCCCUCUUUUUGUUUGAUUGCUAAAGAAGGUGGGCAGGGUCUUUUUGUUACAGCACUCAUGGGGCAGGGGGUGGCAGUGGUGGUCACCUGUGCCAUCGUUUCUGAAAGACCUCAGCUGUGUUUCAGUGAGUAGCCUUUUGCAGGACAAUUUGUUCUCCUGCUAGAAAGGAGCUGUGUCUGUACAUCAAGUGUAAGACUCCAGGCCAGGCAGCUGUCACAGGUGAGGUUUCCAUUACUGUCACUCCACAAAAUUGCUUCUGAAAUGUCAAGAAAGAGAUUUGCAGAAUAAAGCAGGUUGGUUGUUGGUUUUUUUUUUUCCCACAGUAACUUAGAAAAUAGAUUGCAAACAUGAGCUUACAUAAUAAAAGUUUAUUCCUGUUGGGUUUCAGGAUUGUGGAGCUGAAAGACUGGGUUUGUGAUGUCAACCUUGGCUUCAACAAAUUAUCAUCCAUUUCCUUGGAGCUUUGCAUGCUCCAUAAAUUG